This 253-nucleotide ribosomal RNA is filed under the name uncultured bacterium. Its description in RNAcentral is "partial 16S ribosomal RNA". It matches the Rfam family "Bacterial small subunit ribosomal RNA", at positions 524 to 776 of the family's 1533-position model. The record is from RNAcentral.
UACGUAGGGUGCAAGCGUUGUCCGGAAUUAUUGGGCGUAAAGAGCUCGUAGGCGGUUUGUCGCGUCUGCUGUGAAAACUCGGGGCUUAACCCUGGGCCUGCAGUGGGUACGGGCAGACUAGAGUGCGGUAGGGGAGACUGGAAUUCCUGGUGUAGCGGUGAAAUGCGCAGAUUUCAGGAGGAACACCGGUGGCGAAGGCGGGUCUCUGGGCCGUAACUGACGCUGAGGAGCGAAAGCGUGGGGAGCGAACAGG